Molecule: long non-coding RNA, 235 nt
Filed under: Carica papaya (papaya)
Lineage: Eukaryota; Viridiplantae; Streptophyta; Magnoliopsida; Brassicales; Caricaceae
Description: long non-coding RNA (CPAP_LNC001953)
Source: RNAcentral
UUAUAUCCGUCCGUUUUUUAUUUGUGUCGUCCAUCACGUUUGAUCUGGAUCGUCCGAUUGCGAUUAAAUAGGGAGAAAUCGGGAUCGUUCAUCGCGAUCUAAUCUGGACCGUCCAUUGUGAUCUAAUCUGGACCGUCCGAUUACGUUCAAAUCUAGACGUCUGAUCACAUUUGGGGAGGGAAUACAUUUGUGCCGUCUGUGCGCGGGGGAACGGAUCUGAGCCGUUCGAUCACGG